GGACCGUAGCUCAGUUGGUUAGAGCGCCACGUUGACAUCGUGGAGGUCAGCGGUUCAAAUCCGCUNNNUCA
The sequence is a transfer RNA, 71 nucleotides long. The stretch from base 7 to 65 matches the Rfam family "tRNA", at positions 8 to 63 of the family's 71-position model. From Rfam's summary of the family: Transfer RNA (tRNA) molecules are approximately 80 nucleotides in length. Their secondary structure includes four short double-helical elements and three loops (D, anti-codon, and T loops).